GAUGAACGCUGGCGGCGUGCCUAAUACAUGCAAGUCGAGCGAACAGACGAGGAGCUUGCUCCUCUGACGUUAGCGGCGGACGGGUGAGUAACACGUGGAUAACCUACCUAUAAGACUGGGAUAACUUCGGGAAACCGGAGCUAAUACCGGAUAACAUGUUGAACCGCAUGGUUCAACAGUGAAAGACGGUUUUGCUGUCACUUAUAGAUGGAUCCGCGUCGCAUUAGCUAGUUGGUAAGGUAACGGCUUACCAAGGCAACGAUGCGUAGCCGACCUGAGAGGGUGAUCGGCCACACUGGAACUGAGACACGGUCCAGACUCCUACGGGAGGCAGCAGUAGGGAAUCUUCCGCAAUGAGCGAAAGCCUGACGGAGCAACGCCGCGUGAGUGAAGAAGGUCUUCGGAUCGUAAAACUCUGUUAUUAGGGAAGAACAAAUGUGUAAGUAACUAUGCACGUCUUGACGGUACCUAAUCAGAAAGCCACGGCUAACUACGUG
RNAcentral lists this ribosomal RNA (497 nucleotides) under uncultured bacterium. Its description in RNAcentral is "partial 16S ribosomal RNA". It matches the Rfam family "Bacterial small subunit ribosomal RNA", at positions 28 to 507 of the family's 1533-position model. The record is from RNAcentral.